RNAcentral lists this long non-coding RNA (1415 nucleotides) under Citrus sinensis (sweet orange). RNAcentral describes it as "long non-coding RNA (CSIN_LNC001616)". The record is from RNAcentral. Lineage: Eukaryota; Viridiplantae; Streptophyta; Magnoliopsida; Sapindales; Rutaceae.
UUGACUUUUGACCCCCCCUUUUCAUCUUCAUUCCACGAUCAAGAGAACAGUCUUCCAGCCAGUUCCAUCCUUUUCACGAGUUUAAUUUUUUCCAGUGAUUCUUCCAGGUAAAACUUGUACUUUAUUAUUAAUUUAUUAAAAUUACUCAUCUUAUUAUGAUUUUUUUUUUAUUUGUCAUACUUGUUUAGGAUUUAUUUUCGAUAGAUAAUUAGGGAUUGAAAUAUAUAUAAUUGACACAAUUAAAUUUCUUAGCCUCUUGGACAGUAAAUUUAUAGCAGAUAUAGUAUUAUAUAAUUGGCACAAUUAAUUAAUUGUUGUUUUUUUUUGUUACUUAUAAUAUUUUUUAAAAUUUAAAAAAAAAUGAAGAACUUUCAGUUAUCUAAUUUAUUUAAGUAAUUAAAUAAUGGAUUCAAAUUUAUUAAAUAAUUGAUUCAAAUAGGGACGAUUCGUGAGUGAGGCGGGGGAAUAACCCAUAACGAAGAAAGGCAGCAAACAGAGGAAGCGGUUGAGGAGAGAAGUAUCAUUAGCCGCAUGGGAUAAUCUUUCUGGUUUCCUACCCUUUCACCUUUCCUACUCCUUAAAGGCUUUGAUUCUUAAUCUAAUUUCUUCAAUUCGUCUCCAUUUGGCAUUUGGCUGGUGAUUCAACGUAUUUAGAUUGUCCUUUUAUUUUUCUACCUUCUGUAUCUAAUCGUCUUGCUUAGUGUAAAUAGUUUUAAGGAUAAGAGUACUGAUGUCCCCUUAUUAGAUAUAUAUUUUAUUUUUUUGCCUAAAAUGAAAUUUCAUAUUCACUUUUGACUGCACUAUAUCACUUUUUCUGGAAAAAAAAAAAAAACGCAGGUAAAUAAUGAUUGGUUCUAGAUCCGCCCUUAAAAUUCAGAUUAUCCAUCCUCAUUCCUAAGUCCUAACAUCAACCAACGCCCCAUUGCAAAAAUUAACCCAGUUAUGCUUAUAUGUAAUAUUCCAAGAUUAAUAGUAUUUAGCGAGUCUAUUUGAAACCCUAAUGAGUAGGAUGAACACACAAUCAUAUUUAUAUGAAAUUUUAUGUUACUAAAACACCCACGAUUGAGUUCACUAUUUAUUAUUAAGGGCAAUCCUCCGCUAUUAUCAAGAUUAGUCACUACACCCAUGACCCAUUCAACAGGGUUAUAAGAACAAAACACACCUUAAUAAUGAUUUAAUCAUUCGGGAACAGAGUUUUCCCUGAGGAAACCAUUUUCUCUCGACACAAGUUAUGCAGCUUAACUCAGUUGCACUUUCCCUAUGAAGUUAGAGGUGAGGCUAAUCACGUAGAGAUGAUUAUCAACCUGCAAGCCUGAGGUCACAAACGACAUCAACUGUCCGGUAGGAUCAACAAGAUUUCUGAUUAUAGUGCCAUCUUCUGCAACGUGUAUUAGGUGUGCUCCGCCGCCUAAGGU